RNAcentral lists this ribosomal RNA (469 nucleotides) under uncultured bacterium. RNAcentral describes it as "partial 16S ribosomal RNA". It matches the Rfam family "Bacterial small subunit ribosomal RNA", at positions 28 to 507 of the family's 1533-position model. The record is from RNAcentral.
GACGAACGCUGGCGGCGUGCUUAACACAUGCAAGUCGAACGGAAAGGCCCUGCUUGCCGGGUGCUCGAGUGGCGAACGGGUGAGUAACACGUGGGUGAUCUGCCCCUUACUUUGGGAUAAGCCGGGGAAACUGGGUCUAAUACUGGAUAGGACCAUGCUGUAGGUGGGGUGGUGGGAAGAUUAGUUUCGGUAAGGGGUGAGGUCGCGGCCUAUCAGCUGUUUGGUGGGGGAUUGGCCUACCAAGGCGUCGACGGGUAGCCGGCCGGAGGGGGGGGACGGCCACAUUGGGACUGGGAUACGGCCCAGAAGCCUACGGGGGGCAGCAGUGGGGAAGAAUGCACAAUGGGGGGAAGCCUGAUGCAGCGACGCCGCGGGGGGGAUGACGGCCUUCGGGGUGUAAACUCCUUUCAGCCAUGACGAAGCCCUUGUGGUGACGGUAGUGGGAGAAGAAGCACCGGCUAACUACGUG